CUAUUCCUGAAUUCUCUAUUCCAGUGAUCUCCUUGUCUACCUUUAUGAAAACACCAUAUAUCCUGAAAACAAGUAGAUUUAUAAGUCUUGAAAUCAGGUUAUGUUAGUCUUCCAAUUUUGUUCUUUUCAGACCUAUUUUAACUAUUACAGGACUUUUACAGCCUUUCCACAAACACUUUGGAAUAAUUUAAUUUCCUUUCUUUUCUUUUUUUCUUUUGAGAUAGGUGAGGGGAAGUGGUAGAAUUGGGAGAAUAUGUAUUCCAGAAUAAAUAAAACAAAUGCAUUUAUUUACUGUAUAUU
Long non-coding RNA from Sapajus apella (tufted capuchin), 300 nucleotides. RefSeq lists it as uncharacterized. Lineage: Eukaryota; Metazoa; Chordata; Mammalia; Primates; Cebidae. The transcript is spliced from 2 exons. The record is from RefSeq and is a predicted model, not a curated record.